UAGCGUAUAUUAAAGUUGUUGCAGUUAGAACGCUCGUAGUCGGAUUUCGGGGCAGUCCGACCGGUCUGCCGAUGGGUAUGCACUGGCCGGAGUGUCCUUUUUGCCGGAGACCGUGCCUACUCUUAACUGAGCGGGGGCGGGAGACGGCACUUUUACUUUGAAAAAAUCAGAGUGUUUCAAGCAGGCAGUGCGCUCUUGCAUGGAUUAGCAUGGGAUAAUGAAAUAGGACUUUGGUGCUAUUUUGUUGGUUUCGAACACCGAAGUAAUGAUUAAAAGGGACAGUCAGGGGCACUCGUAUUCCGCCGAGAGAGGUGAAAUUCUCAGACCAGCGGAAGACGAACCACUGCGAAAGCAUUUG
This 358-nucleotide ribosomal RNA is filed under the name Haptophyta environmental samples. Its description in RNAcentral is "SSU rRNA". It matches the Rfam family "Eukaryotic small subunit ribosomal RNA", at positions 595 to 957 of the family's 1831-position model. Lineage: Eukaryota; Haptophyta. The record is from RNAcentral.